Belonocnema kinseyi is the source of this 288-nucleotide long non-coding RNA. RefSeq lists it as uncharacterized. The record is from RefSeq and is a predicted model, not a curated record. The transcript is spliced from 3 exons. Lineage: Eukaryota; Metazoa; Arthropoda; Insecta; Hymenoptera; Cynipidae.
UUCUCCAUUAUUCCCAUAUUUUUGUAAAAAAUUCACACUACCCCCUUUUUAUAUUAAAUUUUGGGCUACGUUACUUCUCGAGUGGGUGGGGUGAGAAAACUAGCGUUGUCAACGAGGAAGGAUGUCAGAUUUUAUCUAAGAGCUUUUUGUAAUCAGCAAAUGUGGUCUGUGAGGGGUCGAACGCUUAAGAUUUAUUUCAUGUCACACUAUGUUAUCGUUGUACAUGCUAUACAACAGUGUUAAUACAAUGAUAUUUCUUCGCUGACAUUCUGUCUCCAAACCAGUCCG